GAAAUCAGGUUUCGAGGUGAUAGUGCUUGAUACGAUUAUGGGUCAGAAGUCUAUAUGGAGGUCCCAGUCGAUAGUUGUGAUGUGGUCAUGGGUUCAAGUAUAACUGCGAGCCUGGUGAUGGUUGUUACGCGGUUAGAAGUUUAAGCUUUUUGGAUACUCACAAAUGGUGCCUUAUAUAUACUGUAAUAGGCCAUUUUUGCCCAGGCCCAACAAAAAAAAACCAAAAAAAUAAAUAAAUUAACAGUCUCAAUCCACUUACAAUAGGCCCAAACAGCCCAAACCCAAAAUAAAAAACCCUAGGCGGCCCGAUAAGCCCAAAAACUUAAACAAUCUCAGAAAACCCUAGCCUCCCUAACCCUCUUCAGCCGCCAACCUCCUCACGCGCGCCACCACCACCGCACACCAUCAC
RNAcentral lists this long non-coding RNA (409 nucleotides) under Gossypium raimondii (Peruvian cotton). RNAcentral's name for it is "long non-coding RNA (GRAI_LNC002089)". The record is from RNAcentral. Lineage: Eukaryota; Viridiplantae; Streptophyta; Magnoliopsida; Malvales; Malvaceae.